AGAGUUUGAUCCUGGCUCAGGAUGAACGCUAGCGGCAGGCUUAAUACAUGCAAGUCGAGGGGCAGCAUGACUGUAGCAAUACAGUUGAUGGCGACCGGCAAACGGGUGCGGAACACGUACACAACCUUCCUUCGAGCGGGGAAUAGCCCAGAGAAAUUUGGAUUAAUACCCCAUAGUAUAUCGAUUAAGCAUCUUUUUGAUAAUAAAGAUUUAUUACUUGAAGAUGGGUGUGCGGCUGAUUAGGUAGUUGGCGGGGUAACGGCCCACCAAGCCCACGAUCAGUAACUGGUGUGAGAGCACGACCAGUCACACGGGCACUGAGACACGGGCCCGACUCCUACGGGAGGCAGCAGUAAGGAAUAUUGGUCAAUGGACGAAAGUCUGAACCAGCCAUGCCGCGUGGAGGAUGAAGGUCCUCUGGAUUGUAAACUUCUUUUAUAUGGGACGAAAAAAGGCUUUUCUAAGUCGUCUGACGGUACCAUAUGAAUAAGCACCGGCUAACUCCGUGCCAGCAGCCGCGGUAAUACGGAGGGUGCAAGCGUUAUCCGGAUUCACUGGGUUUAAAGGGUGCGUAGGUGGGUUGGUAAGUCAGUGGUGAAAUCUCCGAGCUUAACUUGGAAACUGCCAUUGAUACUAUCAGUCUUGAAUACCGUGGAGGUUAGCGGAAUAUGUCAUGUAGCGGUGAAAUGCUUAGAUAUGA
Molecule: ribosomal RNA, 700 nt
Filed under: uncultured bacterium
Lineage: Bacteria
Description: bacterial SSU rRNA
Rfam family: Bacterial small subunit ribosomal RNA
Source: RNAcentral